CACGUAGGAGGCGAGCGUUGUCCGGAAUCAUUGGGCGUAAAGAGCGCGCAGGCGGCUUGGCAAGUCGGGCGUGAAAUCCCGGGGCUCAACCCCGGGACUGCAUUCGAUACUGUCAGGCUAGAGGUAGGUAGGGGAGAUCGGAAUUCCUGGUGUAGCGGUGAAAUGCGCAGAUAUCAGGAGGAACACCGAUGGCGAAGGCAGGUCUCUGGAACGGUACUGACGCUGAGACGCGAAAGCGUGGGGAGCGAACAGG
RNAcentral lists this ribosomal RNA (253 nucleotides) under uncultured bacterium. RNAcentral describes it as "partial 16S ribosomal RNA". It matches the Rfam family "Bacterial small subunit ribosomal RNA", at positions 524 to 776 of the family's 1533-position model. The record is from RNAcentral.